This 299-nucleotide long non-coding RNA is filed under the name Elaeis guineensis (African oil palm). RNAcentral describes it as "long non-coding RNA (EGUI_LNC069937)". Lineage: Eukaryota; Viridiplantae; Streptophyta; Magnoliopsida; Arecales; Arecaceae. The record is from RNAcentral.
AAUAGAGAGGAGUAGUCCUAUAAGAUUUAAGAAGCUAAGUCCAUAAGUCUAUGACUAUAGUAGUGUGCUUAAUGAAAAAAAAAAUUUAUUUGGUAUCACUAAUGGACUUGAGCUGAUCAGAUUUAUCAUAUGACUGAUAAUGAGAUUUGAUGAAUUAUCCAUGACCUGCCAUCUAGGUGAGACUCAUGAUAGAGAAACUAUAUCAUACAUUAACUAUACCUAAAGAUUCUAUUUUAAUUCUUUUAGGUUGCCAUUACAUAUUGCUAGAUGUCACUGGUAGAUUGUGAGAGCUCAAUAGA